Transfer RNA from Felis catus (domestic cat), 85 nucleotides. It matches the Rfam family "tRNA". From Rfam's summary of the family: Transfer RNA (tRNA) molecules are approximately 80 nucleotides in length. Their secondary structure includes four short double-helical elements and three loops (D, anti-codon, and T loops). Further hydrogen bonds mediate the characteristic L-shaped molecular structure. tRNAs have two regions of fundamental functional importance: the anti-codon, which is responsible for specific mRNA codon recognition, and the 3' end, to which the tRNAs corresponding amino acid is attached (by aminoacyl-tRNA synthetases). tRNAs cope with the degeneracy of the genetic code in two manners: having more than one tRNA (with a specific anti-codon) for a particular amino acid; and 'wobble' base-pairing, i.e. permitting non-standard base-pairing at the 3rd anti-codon position. Lineage: Eukaryota; Metazoa; Chordata; Mammalia; Carnivora; Felidae. The record is from Rfam.
GCCUGGGUGGCUCAGUUGGUUGAGCACUUGACUUUGGCUCAGGUCAUGGUCUCACGGUUCAUGAGUUCAAGCCUCAUAUCAGGCU